CCGGGUUGACGAGCGGCGGACGGGUGAGUAAUGUCAGGAACUGCCUUAUGGAGGGGAUACUACUGGAAACGGUAGCUAAUACCGCAUAACGUCGCAAGACCAAAGAGGGGGACCUUCGGGCCUCUUGCCAUCAGAUGUGCCCAGAUGGGAUUAGCUAUAGUGGGGUAACGGCUCACCUAGCGACGAUCCCUACUGGUCUGAAGGAUGACCACCACACUGGAACUGAACACGGUCCAGACUCCUACGGGAGGCAGCAGUGGGGAAUAUUGCACAAUGGGCGCAAGCCCGAUGCAGCCAUGCCGCGUGUAUGAAGAAGGCCUUCGGGUUGUAAAGUACUUUCAGCGGGGAGGAAGGUGUUGUGGUUAAUAACCACAGCAAUUGACGUUACCCGCAGAAGAAGCACCGGCUAACUCCGUGCCAGCAGCCGCGGUAAUACGGAGGGUGCAAAGCGUUAAUCGGAAAUUACUGGGCGUAAAAGCCGCACGGCAGGCGGUCUGUCCAAGUCGGGAUGUUGAAAUCCCCCGGGGCUCAAACCCUUGGGGGAAACUUGGCAUUUCGGAAAACUGGGGCCAGGGGCUAAAAGUUCUUGGGUAAAAGGGG
Molecule: ribosomal RNA, 600 nt
Filed under: uncultured bacterium
Lineage: Bacteria
Description: partial 16S ribosomal RNA
Rfam family: Bacterial small subunit ribosomal RNA
Source: RNAcentral